CUUACAAAAGGGGCAAUAAAAUAUAUUAAAUUAUAUUAUGUAUUUUUUUUAUUUAAGUGUUGUUUGCAUUGCAUUAUGUACAUCGAAUAUAUCUCAAUUCAUUUGUAAACUUAAAAGAUAAAAAAAAAUAUGGUUAAAUUUCUUAAAUUUAUUUAUGCUAUAGUUUUGCUUUUUUCCCUAUUCCUUUUCUCAGCCAAGGCUCUCAUUCCAUGUGAAACUCAUGAAGAUUGUCCAAAUAUGGAUCCUCCAGGGGACGCGGUUGAUGCCAUUUUCAUGUGCCUUGGUAAAGCAUGCUAUGUGGUUAUCAAGUUAGUAUAAGAAAGAAAUAUAAAAAUAAGCUAUGAAUAAUAUAUGUUAAGGUCGAAUAUUUCAUAAGAUGCCAUUUAAGAUUUAUGCUUUCAAUAAAAAAUUGUAUUUUUAUAUAGUUUAAAAUUAUAAUUUUGUUUUCUAAAAUAUCGACAAUGAAAUAAAAAAGAAAAUAUAUAUAUUUAAACCAGAA
Long non-coding RNA from Vicia villosa (hairy vetch), 499 nucleotides. RefSeq lists it as uncharacterized. The record is from RefSeq and is a predicted model, not a curated record. Lineage: Eukaryota; Viridiplantae; Streptophyta; Magnoliopsida; Fabales; Fabaceae. The transcript has 2 exons.